Molecule: ribosomal RNA, 1884 nt
Filed under: Triticum aestivum (bread wheat)
Lineage: Eukaryota; Viridiplantae; Streptophyta; Magnoliopsida; Poales; Poaceae
Description: partial small subunit ribosomal RNA
Source: RNAcentral
AUGCUGGGCCGCCCCGUCCAGGUUGGUGGGGGAUCCGUGAAGGUUCCUGAGGUGCCCCUGGGCAAAUUGCCAGCUUGCGCGUCCGCGAGGCUCCCUGUGUCGGCUGCUGCUCCGACCUCGCCCAUCGUCUCCGCCGCGAAGCUGGCCGCGGCUGCGCUGGCCUCCCGCAAGGCCGACUCGUCCAUAGGUGGGCGGAGGGCCGGCACCGGCGCUACCUCUGCUCCCAUUGUCGGCGGCUCUCCCGGCCAGCUGCCGUCGUCCCCGGCGGCGGCGCCUGCAUCCCUGCCGGGGCCAGAUCAGGCACCUCUGGAGCUCCUGCGGACUGUGUUUCUGCAGCAUGUGGCGAGUCCCUGCUUGGUCGUCACGGCACUUGAUGCCCAGGAGCCGGCGCCUAAUGGUGUGGGCACGUGGGGUUCUACUGCCAAUGACAAAGUGGAGGAGGACGAAGAAAAACUGGUGCCACAAGAUGCCUCCAUGGUCUUCGACUCCACCCUGCCAUUAGUUGGUACCGUCCAUCGUCCUGCUUCAGCUUCAUGUGAGAGUCCGAUGAAAUCCACGCUCCCAUCUAAGGUGCUUCCUCAUGGGUCUUGGGCGUCUGUCGUCUCUGCUACUGUUGGCUCGACAACCCAGCCUGACGUGAUGUUGCAAGCUGCUCUGGCUGAUCAGACUGCGCUGCUGCAGGGUUGGAUGGCACGGGCUGAGAGCUUUUUGAAGAGAGCAGAGGCUGCUUUGGGAAAGCUCACCCUUGUGUCGACUGUGUUGCCGACCGCUCUGACGUCAUGCCCUCCUGGUGUGGUCGGUGUUGCCUCCACGAAGGAAGGGAGCCAAGAGCUAUAUGGGUGUUUCUCUCCUCGUGUUGGAGAUAUCUCAUCAGCACCAUUGACCUUGUCUCCUGUGUUGCGUACUAGUGAGGGUGAGCCCAUCGCCGUGCCCGAGGCUCCAGUUCUGCAGAUCAUGCCCGGCCUACAAGAGCUAUAUUUGUGCCCUGUUUCGCCUUUGUCUGUGGAGCGCGUGGAGGUGGACUCUUCGGUGACCUCGUGUGAGGGGGAGGGGCAGAGGAUCAUGUACUCGAGGGAGCUCCUGCUCGCCGUCGGCAGCUCCGACGACUGCAAGGUGCUGCCCGCCGGCGUCGACCUGUCUAAGCACCCCGAUGACGUGAAGCUCCGGGUUCGCGCGGAGGCUUGGGCCGCCCGCUCGGUUGGAAGAGCAGCACCUGGACGCCAGGGGAGGCCGGAAUUGCCUCAGCGAGCGCGAGAGCCGGAGUCUUUGGAAGCAGGCGUAGGAAGCAAAUCGAAGCCAUGCAUCAGAUUCUUCAGUACCGCAGGUUGCCGCUUUGGUGACAACUGUCGCUUCAUCCAUGACAUCCCCGGCGGCUACCUGGCCGUCGAGAAAAUGGGCAUCCUGACACAGACGGCGCCCGACCCCCGCAAGGAAGCGGUGGCGAGCUUCGGCGCUUCGUCGACGGCCAAGAUCAGCGUGGACGCGUCCCUCGCGGGCGCCAUUAUCGGGCGUGGCGGAGCCACCAUAAAGCUGAUAUCCCGGGCCAGCGGCGCCAGGCUGCGCGUCCGCGACCACGACUGGGACGCCGACUUGAAGAACGUGGAGCUGGAGGGCACGUUCGAUCAGAUCAAGAACGCUUACGACAUGGCCAUGGAGCAGCUGAUCCACGUUGUCAACCAUGACGGCGGCGGUGCCCCUUCGCCUGCGGCGGGAGCAAACACAACGUCCCACGGCGGCGGAUGGCAAUUAGACAGUUUCAAGACCAAGCUGUGCGGGCACUUCGCCAGGGGAUGCUGUACUCAUGGCGACGGGUGCCGCUUCGCCCACGGCGAGGGCGAGCUGCGCAGGCCGGUUCCUGCUCCUCGUGAUCCGGGUGGUUGGUAG